GUGGGGAAUAUUGGACAAUGGGGGGAACCCUGAUCCAGCCAUGCCGCGUGUGUGAAGAAGGCCUUUUGGUUGUAAAGCACUUUAAGCGAGGAGGAGGCUACCGAGAUUAAUACUCUUGGAUAGUGGACGUUACUCGCAGAAUAAGCACCGGCUAACUCUGUGCCAGCAGCCGCGGUAAUACAGAGGGUGCAAGCGUUAAUCGGAUUUACUGGGCGUAAGCGCGCGUAGGUGGCAAAUUAAGUCAAAUGUGAAAUCCCCGAGCUUAACUUGGGAAUUGCAUUCGAUACUGGUUGGCUAGAGUAUGGGAGAGGAUGGUAGAAUUCCAGGUGUAGCGGUGAAAUGCGUAGAGAUCUGGAGGAAUACCGAUUGCGAAGGCAGCCAUCUGGCCUAAUACUGACGCUGAGGUACGAAAGCAUGGGGAGCAAACAGGAUUAGAUACCCGUGUAGUCC
Molecule: ribosomal RNA, 450 nt
Filed under: uncultured bacterium
Lineage: Bacteria
Description: bacterial SSU rRNA
Rfam family: Bacterial small subunit ribosomal RNA
Source: RNAcentral